Mastomys coucha (southern multimammate mouse) is the source of this 74-nucleotide non-coding RNA. NCBI's taxonomy places the organism in Eukaryota, Metazoa, Chordata, Mammalia, Rodentia, Muridae. The record is from the annotation of a RefSeq genome assembly.
GGCCAGUUAGCUUAGUUGGUUAGAAUGUGGUGCUUAUAAUGCCAAGGUUGUAGGUUCGAUCCCUAUACAGGCCA